RNAcentral lists this ribosomal RNA (301 nucleotides) under uncultured bacterium. RNAcentral's name for it is "partial 16S ribosomal RNA". It matches the Rfam family "Bacterial small subunit ribosomal RNA", at positions 509 to 807 of the family's 1533-position model. The record is from RNAcentral.
CAGCAGCCGCGGGAAUACGAAGGGGGCUAGCGUUGCUCGGAAUGACUUGGCGUAAAGGGCGCGUAGGCGGCUGACACAGUCAGAUGUGAAAUUCCUGGGCUCAACCUGGGGACUGCAUUUGAGACGUGUUGGCUUGAGUGGAGAAGAGGGUCGUGGAAUUUCCAGUGUAGAGGUGAAAUUCGUAGAUAUUGGAAAGAACACCGGUGGCGAAGGCGGCGACCUGGUCUUUAACUGACGCUGAGGCGCGAAAGCGUGGGGAGCAAACAGGAUUAGAUACCCCUGUAGUCCCUGUCUCUUAUAC